UACAGAGGUCUCAAGCGUUGUUCGGAUUCAUUGGGCGUAAAGGGCGCGUAGGCGGCGGGGUCAGUCGGGUGUGAAAUCUCCGAGCUUAACUCGGAAACUGCCUUGGAUACUAUUCGGCUGGAGGGUUGGAGGGGGGACUGGAAUUCUCGGUGUAGCAGUGAAAUGCGUAGAUAUCGAGAGGAACACCAGUGGCGAAGGCGAGUCCCUGGACAACUCCUGACACUGAGGCACGAAAGCUAGGGGAGCAAACAGG
This 253-nucleotide ribosomal RNA is filed under the name uncultured bacterium. Its description in RNAcentral is "partial 16S ribosomal RNA". It matches the Rfam family "Bacterial small subunit ribosomal RNA", at positions 524 to 776 of the family's 1533-position model. The record is from RNAcentral.